RNAcentral lists this ribosomal RNA (305 nucleotides) under uncultured bacterium. RNAcentral describes it as "bacterial SSU rRNA". It matches the Rfam family "Bacterial small subunit ribosomal RNA", at positions 335 to 634 of the family's 1533-position model. The record is from RNAcentral.
AGCCUACGGGAGGCAGCAGUAGGGAAUUUUCGUCAAUGGGCGCAAGCCUGAACGAGCAAUGCCGCGUGAACGAGGAAGGUCUUCGGAUCGUAAAGUUCUGUUGAAGGGGAAAAAGAGCGGAGAGAGGAAAUGCUUUCUGAUUGAUAUUACCCUUCGAGGAAGUCACGGCUAACUACGUGCUAGCAGCCGCGGUAAUACGUAGGUGGCGAGCGUUAUCCGGAAUGAUUGGGCGUAAAGGGUGCGUAGGCGGCCUGCUAAGUCUGGAGUGAAAGGUACCGGCUCAACCGGUACAGGCUCUGGAAACU